Molecule: ribosomal RNA, 354 nt
Filed under: bacterium LimB-1-A-285
Lineage: Bacteria
Description: bacterial SSU rRNA
Rfam family: Bacterial small subunit ribosomal RNA
Source: RNAcentral
GGCCUGAGAGGGUGACCGGCCACACUGGGACUGAGACACGGCCCAGACUCCUACGGGAGGCAGCAGUGGGGAAUAUUGCACAAUGGGCGGAAGCCUGAUGCAGCAACGCCGCGUGAGGGAUGACGGCCUUCGGGUUGUAAACCUCUUUUAGCAGGGAAGAAGCGAGAGUGACGGUACCUGCAGAAAAAGCACCGGCUAACUACGUGCCAGCAGCCGCGGUAAUACGUAGGGUGCAAGCGUUAUCCGGAAUUAUUGGGCGUAAAGAGCUCGUAGGCGGUCUGUCGCGUCUGCUGUGAAAUCCCGAGGCUCAACCUCGGGCUUGCAGUGGGUACGGGCAGACUAGAGUGCGGUAGG